This 214-nucleotide ribosomal RNA is filed under the name uncultured Pseudanabaena sp. Its description in RNAcentral is "partial 16S ribosomal RNA". It matches the Rfam family "Bacterial small subunit ribosomal RNA", at positions 388 to 603 of the family's 1533-position model. Lineage: Bacteria; Bacillati; Cyanobacteriota; Cyanophyceae; Pseudanabaenales; Pseudanabaenaceae. The record is from RNAcentral.
CAAGUAAUACCGCGUGAGGGACGAAGGUCUGUGGAUUGUAAACCUCUUUUGUCAGGGACGAUAAUGACGGUACCUGACGAAUAAGCGGUUAGCCUCGGCUAACUCCGUGCCAGCAGCCGCGGCCAUAAGACGGCGAGGAGGCGGUUAAGCGUUAUCCGGAAUUAUUGGGCGUAAAGCGUACGCAGGUGGAUUGACAAGUCUUUUGUCAAAGAUA